Molecule: transfer RNA, 73 nt
Filed under: Planctomycetota bacterium
Lineage: Bacteria; Pseudomonadati; Planctomycetota
Also listed under: 1 other name
Description: Planctomycetes bacterium tRNA-Thr
Rfam family: tRNA
About the family: Transfer RNA (tRNA) molecules are approximately 80 nucleotides in length. Their secondary structure includes four short double-helical elements and three loops (D, anti-codon, and T loops). Further hydrogen bonds mediate the characteristic L-shaped molecular structure. tRNAs have two regions of fundamental functional importance: the anti-codon, which is responsible for specific mRNA codon recognition, and the 3' end, to which the tRNAs corresponding amino acid is attached (by aminoacyl-tRNA synthetases). tRNAs cope with the degeneracy of the genetic code in two manners: having more than one tRNA (with a specific anti-codon) for a particular amino acid; and 'wobble' base-pairing, i.e. permitting non-standard base-pairing at the 3rd anti-codon position.
Source: RNAcentral
GCCGCCUUAGCUCAGCUGGUAGAGCGGCUGAUUUGUAAUCUGCAGGUCGCCGGUUCGAAUCCGGCAGGCGGCU